GAGAGCGGGACAAACAAAUAUAAAUGCAAUGCAAGUGCAGUUCUCUCUUCUCAGUUGUCGAAAGAGAUGCAAUCUUAAAGCCUGGGGAAAUCCAAAGUGAGAAUUUUAAAUAUUCAACUUGUUUAAUACUUCUUAAGUGGGAUAUCCUGGACAGAGUUUUCCUCAGCAUUUCCAUGCUUGAAGCAUUCUUUAGGAAGAAACCUGAAAUGGAUAUGGAUUUCUAUAAACCAUACUGAUAGUGUUUAUCCUCAUGCAAUUACCUGUGAAUCACUGGAGAUAUCAAAUCCGAGUCGAGACUCUUGAUGUCCGUGGGAUUGGUCACCAGAGAGACCAGAGAACCCACAACGACAACCGUAAGUGCCCCAAUUGGGUUUAUCCAUUGGAAUGAGAGUCGGAAUAGUGGAAACAGCUGCUCCUCGUCCACCCAAACAUUUUCGGGAGCAGUCACAUUGCCGGGGCAACUUGCGAGGGACACAGGAAGCCGAUGGUGAUUGAGUUGUCCGGAUGCCGCCGCAAUUUGCGACCCGAAAGUUAUCCAUCCGGUCAGGAGGAAUCCAGCGAUUCCGCCCACCGCAGUGCCCACUGUAUUCGCCCAGGGAACCAGCACUCCCAGGGUAAAUAUGCCAAAGGUGGAACUAGUUGCGAUGGCCACCAGGGACAUGCAGAUGCUCAAGAUGCCACUCACUUUCUCCAGGAGAAGCACCGCACCGAAUACCAAUAAGCCCAUGAUUAGGAUGGUGGCUUUAACGAUAAUCGCGGAUGCAGUUUCGCCCGGCUGCAUCUUAAAACAGCCACGGACUAUGUCCUGCAGGAUGACCAAGGAGGUGGAGUUUAGGAAGACGGAGAGCGAACUCAGGCCAGCACCAAAAAUACCGGCUAUGAAAAGCCCUGGGAUUCCAUAGAUGUGACCUACACUCUGGACCACGAAGAGGGGCACCAGCUGAUCUUUAUUCUGCUCAGAUCGAAAAUAUUUUAAUGCAUAUCCAUACGAAUUACAGUUGGAGUACCCACCAUGAUUUGUCCAGCACUCAAUGGAUCACAAUCCUUGUACAUGUUAAAGAUGAGCAGGCCCAAGAAGCUGAGAACCGAGUAAAAGAUGACCGAUCCGAGGACAAAAUAGGCAAUGGAUGUCC
This is a long non-coding RNA of Drosophila simulans, 1133 nucleotides long. RefSeq lists it as uncharacterized. Lineage: Eukaryota; Metazoa; Arthropoda; Insecta; Diptera; Drosophilidae. The record is from RefSeq and is a predicted model, not a curated record. The transcript is spliced from 2 exons.